CCCUCUCUCUCUCUCUCUCUCUCCCCCCCUCUCAAUGGUUCAGGGAUCAGGGAGAAAUAAUCAAUCGUUAGCGUUCUUAAACGCGAAUCGAGGAGAGAAGCGAAGAAACAAUGGCGGAGAUCGAUAAUGGCGUCAUCUACAAGACGAAGUUUAUCAAUUUCUUCAGUCGCUCCAUUCUUAUCGUCCUCGAGAACGAAACCUCAACUUCUCUUCUCGUCUCGAUCUGCAAUGUUCUUCUUCUGCGUGGUGAUGCAAGGCUUGAUCUUAAUUGGACUCAAGUACCGCAGCAGGAUUUGAUGUCCCUUACUGUAGAUAGCCUGCUCAAUUCUGAAAACCAAGAGAAGAUAGGAGAGGCGAUUUCUCUGCUCCCUAAUCUGCUUUCAGAUUGAUGUGUGCUUUGGGAGUUACUGUUCUAGUGGGCUUUAAGAUGUCUUCUGCAAAAUACAAAGUGGAGAAAUUCGAUGGGAGAAACAGCUUCAGUUAAUGGAGAGUGAAAAUAAGACUUGCCUAGUACAACAAGGACUGUUCAAGGUCUUGUCCGGAAAAGAUAAGUUACCAAAAUCUAUACCCGAUGAUGAGAAAGAAGAGCUAGAGAUGAAGGCGCAUAGUGCCAUACAACUAUGUUUGGCCGAUGAGGUCCUGCAGGAGGUUGCCAAUGAAGAUACCACCGCCGACUUGUGGCUCAAGUUGGAGAGCUUGUACAUGACGAAAUUUUUAACGAACAAGCUCUACUUGAAGCAACUCCUCUUCACCCUUCGCAUGAAUAAAGGAUUGAUGACUAUGAGUUUAUACCGGAACAAUCCAUGUUCAAUCCAUGUUUAAACUCCUUGGUAUCAGACUGUACCACGGAUGGAUAGUAGAUCCUCAGGAUAUUCAUGCUGCAGCUAUUAUUGGGUCAAAAGUUUUCCAGUGCUUUGAGCAGGGUUAUUGCUUCCAUCAAAUCAAGGAAAGCUAAGAGAGAAAGUACUCCUGUGGAAGAUUCUCAAGUUUUUCCUGUAACAAAUGAAACAACUGCAUCAUCAAAUCUUCCAGUAGGUGAAAGAAGAGGUGACAUAGAAGAAGCAGAGGCACUAGCAAGAAGCCAAGAACACUGUUGGUCUCAGAAAACGAAGAACAUACUUUAGCUGAUGAUAAUUCUGAUAAAAUUACAUGCUCCAGAAGUUCCAGUAUGGGAGAUGAAUCUGAAAAACUUCAGCAGCCAAUAUCUGUUUGAACACCUAAAUGCAAAUCCAUUAGUAGUAGAAAUGAUAGUGAUCCAUCAGACAUAAGGAGCUCAAACCUAAAGAUAGAAGCUCCAUUUCCCCAGGAGAAGGCUGCAAAAUUUAUCCUGGAUACCAAACAUGUGAAGAUCGGGAGUCAGACUAUGAAGAGGAGGAUUUUCUUCCUGAACUUGGAGAAGAGCAAGAAUGCACUCCUUGUCCUUCCAUAACUUCAAUGGAGAACCUUUCAUAUUUUCUUCAAGUUUCUACCUGUUUUUCUCAAUCUUAGAUUUCUAUUCUGGUCAUCUGAUGCAUAACUUCCUGGACAGUUUCCCUUGCCAACUGACAGAUCAUGGUCUAUAUCACCUUAUAGAAGGUCUGAAAGAGCAAGAGCUUUGCAUUUUCUUCCGCAAUGAUCAUUUUAGUAUGUUGUUUAAGAACAAUGGGAAGCUCUAUUUGCUCGAAGCUUCUGAGUCACAUAAACCAUGAGAAUUUGGUCUGGAAGGAGUUAACUGUGGUACAGAAGAUGACAGGAUGGGUAGGAGGCUUUGUAGGGCAUCCUUCAACCUCGGCUUCUAGGAACUAGCCAAGAAGAACGCCCCUGAUGAUGCUGGGGACAAUUUCUCAAGCAAUUAAGCCCUUGCGACUCUCUUCUCUGCAGGAAGUAGAAUCAUUACGUGAAGAUGUUUCUUUUUGGUUAAGAUGCUAGCUGCGUUUAGCAUAGUAACAGUUUUUAGUCGUAGUCUUUAACCUGAUACAAUCCUCUCUAUGUAUUGUUGUAUUACCUUUUGGUUUUUAUUUUUCUCUAGCUGCAGGAAUGUAGUAGGUCUAGUGUGGUAGGUGACGACAAUGGUCCGCUCCUUACUCACUUCUCCCACUGUGUUUUCUCCACCUAGAGCUGAUGUAUAUUCCUCUUCUAACUUUUUCUAUAUAUUUAAAUGAACAGGGCACCUCACCCUGUUUCUCAGGCUCAAAAAAAAAAUUGUUUACAAAAUGACACAGUUUUGGUCUAUUAAUGCAAAUGCAAAUUUGUGUGCACAAGGUACAAGGGCAAUGUCCAUAAUGGUGAAAAUAUGAAGCUGUCUGUAGCUUUUAUACGGUUCAUGCCUAUUUGCUAACAAAUUGUGGAACGCAGUGAUAAGAUGAUUUUAUUUGGGAUUAAUUGCAGAUAGCCAGAUGCACCUUCAGGGUUUAGCCACUUAUUAUCCGUAAAAUUUCCAUUCAGCUAUUAGACCCUGGAUGUCUAAACGGAGUUAUCUCUCCGCUUUGGUAUUUUAUACUAUAAAGGGUGUAUGCUCAUCAUAGAAUAGGCGGGCUUUCUGCAAUACACUGAAAUAUUCAGAGGAUCUCCUUGCAAUAAAUUGACAUCACAUGACAGUUAAAAUGAUCUUUGUGCACUGUCCUGUCAAUUGGGUGAGAUGGACUCAGUUGACCAAUUGUUCAACUCCUCAGCUAUCAAAUUUCAGUAGCAAUCAGAAUCUGAGGGCUCCAGCUGCUAUUCCUGAAACUCCUAUUUCACCGGAAAUUCUUGAAUUCGUUCCCAGCCUCUGUUCUGGUAGCUUCAGUGACAUCGGGAUGAGGAGGGAUAUGGAAUAUGAGCAUAUCUGUAUUGAUGAUCUUUUUCUAUUCAUCAAGUCUCAGUGUAGGUGUUGCAUACCUUCUUCUUUUAUGGGGUAUUUGAUGGCCAUAGUUGUUCUGAUGCAGCAUCAUACAUCAGGAGGCAUGCCCUCAGGUUUUUCUUUGAAGAAUCCACACUCCCUCAAGCAUCCAAAUAUGACCCUAUAUUCCUACUUGAGAUCAAAAACUCUAUUCGGAGAUCAUUUCUGCAAGUAGACCUUGCUCUGGCUGAUGAAUGCACAGUGAGCAGCUCCUGUGGGAGUACGACACUUAUUGCAUUGGUGCUCGGAAGGGUUCUCUUGGUAGCCAAUGUUGGUGACUGCAGAGCGGUCAUCUGCCGCGGAGGUAAAGUCAUCAACAUGUCUCAUGACCACCGUGGCUCAGUCCAUGCUGCAGAGCGUCUGAGGGUCGAAAAACCUGGCGGCUACAUUGAUGAUUGGUACCUAAAUGGAGUCCAAUCUGUAACUUGAGCUCUAGGCAAUUGGGACAUGAAGAUCCCAACCUCAGCUACCGGUUUGCCCUCUCCACUCAUCGCGGAGCCUGAGUUCAGGCAAGCUCUCAUCACACAGGAUGACAAAUUCUUGAUCAUUGGAUGCGAUGGUAUUUGUGACGUUAUGUCGGGCCAGCACGUGGUAAAUGUGGUCCGGCGGGGUCUGCGACCCCGAAAGGUGUGCGAGGGAGCUUGUCAUGGAGGCAUUGAGGUUGAAAACCGUCAAUAGUGUUACUGUGAUUGUGGUGUGCUUCUUGGCAGAGCAGAGGGAGGAGGAGGCCGAGGUUGAGGUGUUGUAGUUUGUCUGGAAUUGGUUGGAUAAUGAUGUUGGUAACUAGUGAGGAGUAAUGUAUAUUUGCUUUUUGUAAUGGGUGCCUUCAGUCUUCUGUAUGAGCUGGAGAUCAGUCAACAGUUUUGUAGGGUUGCCUUUUCUGUUUGGGGCUUUACUCGUACUGUAUGUAUUAUUUGUCGAGGAUGAUUGAUGAGCGCGUGUUAUUAUGCAACGAGAUCUUGGUUCCUUUUCACUUUCUACCCCUCGCUGGAAGCUUAUUAUAUAUCAUCAGAUUUCCCACAAACGAAUGUCAUCUGAAGCUGCUGAUCUCAUCUCCAGGCUUCUUCAGUACUUAUCUCAAUCUUCGCUGCAUUGUAUUGAGUAAAUAUUUUCA
Molecule: RNA transcript, 3971 nt
Organism: Asparagus officinalis (garden asparagus)
Lineage: Eukaryota; Viridiplantae; Streptophyta; Magnoliopsida; Asparagales; Asparagaceae
Gene name: probable protein phosphatase 2C 47
Exons: 13
Source: RefSeq, a predicted model, not a curated record